This 861-nucleotide ribosomal RNA is filed under the name uncultured bacterium. Its description in RNAcentral is "bacterial SSU rRNA". It matches the Rfam family "Bacterial small subunit ribosomal RNA", at positions 518 to 1378 of the family's 1533-position model. The record is from RNAcentral.
CGGUAAUACGGAGGGUGCAAGCGUUAAUCGGAAUUACUGGGCGUAAAGCGUGCGUAGGUGGUUUGUUAAGUUAGAUGUGAAAGCCCUGGGCUCAACCUAGGAACUGCAUUUAAAACUGGCGAACUAGAGUAUAGGAGAGGAAAGUGGAAUUUCAGGUGUAGCGGUGAAAUGCGUAGAUAUCUGAAGGAACAUCAAUGGCGAAGGCAGCUUUCUGGACUAAUACUGACACUGAGGUACGAAAGCGUGGGUAGCAAACAGGAUUAGAUACCCUGGUAGUCCACGCCGUAAACGAUGACAACUAGCCGUUGGGAGGAUUUACCUCUUAGUGGCGAAGCUAACGCGUUAAGUUGUCCGCCUGGGGAGUACGGCCGCAAGGCUAAAACUCAAAGGAAUUGACGGGGACCCGCACAAGCGGUGGAGCAUGUGGUUUAAUUCGAUGCAACGCGAAGAACCUUACCUGGUCUUGACAUACACGGAACUUUCCAGAGAUGGAUUGGUGCCUUCGGGAACCGUGAUACAGGUGCUGCAUGGCUGUCGUCAGCUCGUGUCGUGAGAUGUUGGGUUAAGUCCCGUAACGAGCGCAACCCUUAUCCUUAUUUGCCAGCACAUCAUGGUGGGAACUAUAAGGAGACUGCCGGUGAUAAACCGGAGGAAGGCGGGGACGACGUCAAGUCAUCAUGGCCCUUACGACCAGGGCUACACACGUGCUACAAUGGGAAGGACAAAGGGUCGCAACCUCGCGAGAGCAAGCUAAUCUCAUAAACCUUUUCGUAGUCCGGAUCGGAGUCUGCAACUCGACUCCGUGAAGUCGGAAUCGCUAGUAAUCGUGGAUCAGGAUGCCACGGUGAAUACGUUCCCGGG